AUAUCAAUAAGCGGAGGAAAAGAAACCAACAGGGAUUGCCCUAGUAACGGCGAGUGAAGCGGCAACAGCUCAAAUUUGAAAUCUGGCCUCUGGUCCGAGUUGUAAUUUGUAGAAGGUGCUUCGGGUGCGACGACGGUCCAAGUCCCCUGGAACUGGGCGUCAUAGAGGGUGAAAAUCCCGUACGGGGCCGAUCGUCAAUCCCAUGCGAAGCCCUUUCGACGAGUCGAGUUGUUUGGGAAUGCAGCUCUAAAUGGGUGGUAAAUUUCAUCUAAAGCUAAAUACCUGCCAGAGACCGAUAGCGCACAAGUAGAGUGAUCGAAAGAUGAAAAGCACUUUGAAAAGAGAGUCAAACAGUACGUGAAAUUGUUGAAAGGGAAGGGCUUGCAACCAGACUCGUUCGCGGGGGCUCAGCUGCCUUUCGGGACAGUGUAUUCCCCCGUGGUCGGGCCAGCAUCGGUUUCGGCGACCGGAUAAAGGCUUCGGGAACGUAGCUCUCUUCGGAGAGUGUUAUAGCCCGGGGUGUAAUGCGGCCUGCCGGGACCGAGGACCGCGCAUUCGCUAGGAUGCUGGCGUAAUGGUUGCCAGCCACCCGUCUUGAAACACGGACCAAGGAGUCGACCAACCGCGCGAGUGUUUGGGUGUCAAACCCAGGCGCGUAAUGAAAGUGAACGUAGGUGGGAACCUCCGGGUGCACCAUCGACCGAUCUUGAUGUCUUCGGAUGGAUUUGAGUACGAGCACGGCUGGUCGGACCCGAAAGAUGGUGAACUAUGCGUGAAUAGGGUGAAGCCAGAGGAAACUCUGGUGGAGGCUCGCAGCGGUUCUGACGUGCAAAUCGAUCGUCAAAUUUGCGCAUAGGGGCGAAAGGUACGUUUGUCUUUUUUUCUUCUUUCCCCCUUUUUGGGGUGUUGAGUACGCUAACUCCCUUGACAGACUAAUCGAACCAUCUAGUAG
This 952-nucleotide ribosomal RNA is filed under the name Schistophoron tenue. RNAcentral describes it as "eukaryotic LSU rRNA". It matches the Rfam family "Eukaryotic large subunit ribosomal RNA", at positions 40 to 950 of the family's 3401-position model. Lineage: Eukaryota; Fungi; Ascomycota; Lecanoromycetes; Lecanorales. The record is from RNAcentral.